GUCAGAGCAUACUAGAGACUACAGGAGAGGAAUUAUUCCCACAGAAUUUGGUGAUGUCCUUAUUGUAAUAUAUCCAAUGAAAAAUCACAUGUUCAGUAUUCAGAUAAUGAAAAAACCAGAGGUUCCCUUCUUUGGUCCCCUUUUUGAUGGUGCUAUUGUGAAUGGAAAGGUUCUACCCAUUAUGGUUAGAGCAACAGCUAUAAAUGCAAGCCGUGCUCUGAAAUCUCUGAUUCCGUUGUAUCAAAACUUUUUAUUCUCCCUCACGCUCUACUACUCAAAUGUACAGUACCUGUUGCAAAGUAGGAAAGCCAAAACUAAGUGGAAUGGAAUUGAUUGGUUCUGCUAAUGCAGUUGCCUUUCGUUAUAAUGAAACAUUAUAAAACCUC
RNAcentral lists this small RNA (386 nucleotides) under Pongo abelii (Sumatran orangutan). RNAcentral describes it as "processed transcript". Lineage: Eukaryota; Metazoa; Chordata; Mammalia; Primates; Hominidae. The record is from RNAcentral.